RNAcentral lists this ribosomal RNA (215 nucleotides) under Clostridium botulinum. Its description in RNAcentral is "partial 16S ribosomal RNA". It matches the Rfam family "Bacterial small subunit ribosomal RNA", at positions 1 to 210 of the family's 1533-position model. Lineage: Bacteria; Bacillati; Bacillota; Clostridia; Eubacteriales; Clostridiaceae. The record is from RNAcentral.
UUUAAAUUUAGAGUUUGAUCCUGGCUCAGGACGAACGCUGGCGGCGUGCUUAACACAUGCAAGUCGAGCGAUGAAGCUUCCUUCGGGGAGUGGAUUAGCGGCGGACGGGUGAGUAACACGUGGGUAACCUGCCUCAAAGUGGGGGAUAGCCUUCCGAAAGGAAGAUUAAUACCGCAUAAUAUAAGAGAAUCGCAUGAUUUUCUUAUCAAAGAUUU